CAGGGCCAGCUUGUGGUAGGGAGCGCACGUCUUAUGUAGUGACUGCUCGGGGGUUAAUGUGAGACUUGGAGCUAAAUCGACAAUCGAGCCCCUUCUUCCUUGGAGUGCUGUGGAGUCCACUGUUUGGCAAGUUUGGCCCUUGGCCCGAGUGACACCUGAGACUGGAUAGUCUCAGUCCUGAGGGCCAUCCCACGCAUUGGAGGCUGUUUAGCAGCGUCCCUGGCCCCUACACCCUAGAUGCCCAUAGCACCCCUCUCCCCAGUCAUGGCCUUCAAAUAUGCCCCCAGACAUUGCCAAAUGCCCCCUGGGGACAGGUGCCCAAAUUGUCCUCCAUGAGGAACCAGUGGUUUACAUUAGGAGUCCCAACUUUGGCAACUCCAGAAAUCCCUUUAAUUGGCUCUCCCUCCUUGUGAGAAAGUUUUUCAAUUGAACAAACAUCGUUUGCUAAGUAUUCAUUUCUCCGCUUUCUUGCUUAAAAAUAUCCGCCAGUUGGAGUUUCCGGUCUGUGUUACUAGGCUGAGUUGAUUUCAUUCAGGCCGGUAUCAAGCAAAGAAGCUUGAUGUUUUAGGUGCCAUCUGUGGCCUGACUGAAAAGGAAGAUGCGGGUUCUGGUAGACUUCUUGACCAGUUGAAAAAUAGCGUGAAGACCCCCAUUGGGGAAUCCUGAGACCCAGUUGGACUCACUGGUAUAAACUUCACAUUCACCGUUUACAGUCAAGGAUUUGGGUCAAAUGUCCCUGGAAGAAAGUUCCUUUGAACCUCCUCUGCUCCGGCAGCUGCCAUCCUGUCUUCCCCCCAUUUGGCCAUGAGCAGUGAUACCAUUCCACAUGUAUUUAUUCAGCGCUUGCCACAGGCCUGGCCCUUCCCUGGGCGUGAGGGUGCUGCGGCAUGCAGAUGACAAGCAGGAGGCUAAGAAAGAAAGAAUCGAAUCUCCGGAGGUGCUAAGUGCUAAGAGGGAGGUGGUUUCUGGAAUUACAGGACCCUGUAAACAGUCAGGUGGCCCUCUCUCCGGCCCUGCCCUCUGCUCGGUCCUAGCUCAGCCCCCUUCAGGAUCAAUUCAUGUUCAUUGACAGGGCCCAGCUCCUGUUAGUUGCCUCAUGGGGGACAAAGUCCUUUAUCACUUAGAAGAACAGGCGCUGUGGCAGGCUGUGGCCUGCUCAUCGAGAGGCGUUUCUGAGAAAUGUUGAGGGUGCGUCUCACUAGGGGCCGUGAAAGGACGCUCCGCAGGGACCUUGAGCCUGGCCUGGUUGACGGAGCACCCUGUGACUGACAUCGUGUUCUGCAGAAGGAAACAUGGCAGUUCUCUCUCCCUCCACACAAGUCUUCAGCCAAGGCUUGGAACACAGAAGGGACCUUAUAGCGUGUGAGGCUUUGUGCUCAGGUCCUGUCAGAGGGAGGAAAGGGACACAGGAGGCCAGGGAGGGAAACUCAGCCCCCUUGCCAAGUGUCCCCCGGCACCAUGUGUCCGCCCCUCCCCUUGGCCACUGGGAGGCUUUCCUUCUCCUGCCACAAUCUUACACCGGGUCUUCUUUCUGUCUUUGUUCCCUGGAUUCCACCCACCGUGGGUGUAUGAAAUGGUAGCUGCUUGGCAGCAUCCUCCAAGAGGGUGCUGUGCACCUGCACAGGUUCCCGCCCCUCCUCCUUUCUCCCUCCCUCCCUCCUCCCAUCUCUCCUUACCUGCUGGCCACCUAAUUCUUUUCCUUUCCUAAUUCUCCAGUUCGGAGAACAAUCCACACCAGCUGCCUUGCGGAGCCUUUCAAAGACACAAAUCCCAGCCUGUGCCCUCCUCUCCUUUAGUUAAUACCCUUCAGUGUCGUCACCCCCCCCCCACCCCCAUUAUCCUCAAGUUAAUGCCCGAAUGUCUUCAUGGUCACUGCUUGGCUUAUGAGGCCCCAGUGGGUUCUGGCUGGGCUUCAGGAAGUGCCCCGUCUGGACACUGGGAAUUGGACAGCCAGCCCCGAGGGGAAAAGUGGUCUAGCCACAAAGAGCAGGAAAGACUCAAGGAUUCAGUGGUUCAGAGGGGGUCGUGGUAGGGACCAGUGGGGCCAUUGGAGCCUUCAAACUGGAUCUGACUUGUGUUUUAACCAGAUCGUUGUGGCUGCUGUGCUGAAAAUGGACUGAAAGUGGCAAAGGUGGAAACAGAGAGCCCAGAUAGGAGGCUGUUGCGGGAACCCGGGGUACUGCAGAAAUCCGGGAAUGGGUGACGUUGGUCUGGCCGGUGGUAGCAGAGGACGUUGUAAGAAGUGAUCAGGUAUGAAUGUGUUGUGCAGGUAGAAUUGGAUAUGGGGUUUGAGAAAAGAGGUGAUCCCAAGGCUUUCUCUCGAGCAAGUAGAGAAGGAAGUUUCCAUUUGUUCAUGCUGGGAUCAAUACGAGCAGGGGGGGUUGUUUUGUUGGUUUGUUUUACGGGUAGGGGUGGAAUUGUUUCGCUUGAGAUGUUCGUCAGACAUCCAAAUGGAGAUAUCCAGGAAGCAGCUGGAUAUCUGAAUCUGGAGUGUGAAGGUGAAUUUUAUGUGCCAAGUUGGCUAGCCCACAGUUCCCAGACAUUUGGUCAAACAAUAGUUUGGAUGUCGAAGCCUGUGUUUUGGAUGAGAUUAGCAUUUCCAUCAGUAGAUUGAAGGUAAAGCUCUGUACUGUCCAUAAUGUGGGUGAGCCUCCUCCAACCAGUUGAAGGCCUUAAGAGAAAAAGACUGCAGUUUCCCAAGGAAGUGAGAAUUCUGCCUGCAGACUGUCUUCAGCCUUGAGCUGCAACGUGAACUCUUCUCUGAGUCUCCAGCCUGCUGGUCCACCCUGCAGAGCAUGGACUGGCAGCCUCCACAACUGUGUGAGCCAGUUCCUUGAAAUCUCUCUCUCUCUCUCCAUAUAUAUCCCAUUGGUUUUGUUUCUGUUUUUCUGGAGAACCCUGACUAAAUACAUGGACUAAAGGAGAGAUAAAUACUUGGGUACAUAUUUGGGAGUCAUGUUAUUUAAUCUUUGCCAUUGGGUGUGAUCACCAAGAGGGCGAGUGUGGAGAUAGAGGAGCAGUCCAUUGGGCUAUCCAACACAAGUCAAGAAAUUCAGAAACUGUUUUCGGGGUGUGUGUGUGUGUGUGUGUGUAACAUUUACUGAGCUCUUACUCUGUACCAGGGAUUCUCCAUUUCUGGAUGCUGCCUCUUCUUAAAACCAGAGCUGUCUAUCUCCUUAUUUGUUCUGGAAGUUUGGGAAAUGAUCCCAAUGGGGCCACCUAUUUAUUUGACUGAUGUUUUGCAACUCCUGUGUCUCAGCCUGUCCCGAGUUCUGGGCAGCAGAAUGGCAUCAGCCUUUCCUUUUCAGAAACCAAUGAUUCCGGCAUCUUCCUUCCAGGCCAUUUUCCGUUCCCCUAACCUCUAGCCUCUUGAAACCAUUUAGCAUCUCUUGAUACCAAGUCAUCCCAUUUAUUAAAAUGUGUGGAGCCUCCUUCCUGGCAAGUGGUGGUGAGAAUAGUUCUGCAGCCCCAAGGGAUAGAGUCAUUGGAACUUAGUGACUUGAAGAACGUUUGGUGUGAAUAAUGAAAAGUGCGGGACCGUGCUGCUGCAUCGCCCUCACCCACUCUGUUCCUUGUUUUCUUUGUGAGACAGAAUGUUUAGUCCAUAUUUUCCAAGAACUGUGGAGGUGGGUUGUUGGGGACAAUUGAUUUUUAGGGAAGUAUUGUUCUGUAUGUGGAAACCAUGAGGCAAACAAUAACAUUGAGCAAGACCUGUCCCGAUGACUGGGCCUGGGCAAAUGGUGGUGCCAAGUGUUUGGGUCACUGUGUGGUAUAAGGCAUCACUUCUGCCUGCAGUGGAUUUUGCUCUGGACUCAGCGUGACCCUGGGAGCUUUGUUCUAGCCAAAUGUCAGAUGGAUCAUCUACUUUCUAAGGCUGUGAUUGAUUCUAAAUUAGAGGAGGUGUACCCUGGCAGGGAGGAGGGUCACAGGUCUGUGUGACGAACACUGAGUUCUGGUUCUCAUCCUGCCCCUGGCUUGCUGUGUGAACUUGAGCAAGCCUCCUCACCUCUCUGAGCAGCAGUGUCUUCAUCCAUGAUGAGUUUGGUCCAGGUGGUCUGAGAAGGGUGAGCCUGUGGCCAGUGGGAGGGUACCCACCCUGAAGAAAGGGCCAGCCCUCCCUCAGCAUCCAACUAGCUUGUCAUGCUGUGUGAGAUCAGUGCUGCCAAAUAAAUCUUUGGACUUUGUAAUGAAAUGAAAUUUCCUGAAUUUUAGAUGUGGGCAGUGAAUUCAGAAAUAUUUAAAACAUCCUGUGGGUGAAACCUGUAGCCAAAUAGAUCCCCAAAGUCUUCCGUUUGCCACUCAGGGCGACUGCAUUGUUCCUCGUGGUUUAUCACAUGCUGGGGGGCCAGGAGAGGGCGGGAAGCUCAUUUGAUUUAUUUUGUCUUGAAAUCACUACAAGUUUUUUCAAGGAACUGGGUGAGCAAAGCCAGACUGGAAAUCAGGUCACAGGAUCGCUGUUGCCUAGAGACUGGAGAGGGGACCAGGCCUUCUUUCCUUGUGGGUGGAAGUGUCAGCCUGAGGCAGUGGACUCUGUUCAGCUCGUCUCCUUGGGAUUUAUCCCUGGGUCCAGCCAUAACCAGCCUUCUCUCUGGCUCUGUGGACUAUGUGACAUUCAGAGUUGGAGGGAAUCAAAUAUUUCCACGUUUUAUUAUUUUUUGCUCAGCAAUAUAUCUUUUAGACCUUCUGUGUGUGUGUGUGUGUACACACACCUCAUUCUGUUUUAAUCACUGCAUAGUAUUCUAUAGUUUUUUCAACUGUUCUGUAUUAAUGGACAUUUUGCUUUUUUCCAUUUUCCCCUUUUAUUUCUACUUCCCCUAAUGUCAUGUCAUAGAAUUGAUUUUAUUCACCCUACAUGCCACACCUUCCUCCUUCUUUUCCUUCCUGUCUUCUUCCUUUUCUCCUUCCCUUGCAUCCAUCCAUCUUUGGAUCCAUUCAUCAGGCAGCUAUCCUUACAGAUGCUAGAUGGAUGGGGUGGAACCCUGGGGCCAUUCCUUGGCCUCCUGGAGCUCCAACCAAUGGGAAACCAGAGAAGAAGCACACGAUGGGAUUCCCUGGAAGCAGGUUCCUCAACAGUCUUUUUGAAGGAGCUCUUUCUGGCCUUUUCGACUGUAAGGUUCUCUGAGGCGGGUAUUGCUCUUUCAAAGGAGGAGUUGGCCUUUGGACCAUUACCAUGUCUGCUUCCCGCGACCUUCCUGGAUCUCCAUCGGCUGCCUGCUCUCCCCUUUUUCCCAUUGCGAGGGCCUGUGGCUUGAGCAAAACAACACCAUGGUUGGCUCCAGAAGGUUGGCCGUGAGAAGGGGCUAGUGGGAUGGCUUUUCCACUGGCACAGGAGAGAGAACUGUGAACAAAGUUUCUAAUCGGAAGUCAGUCUGAAUUGGACACAGAACCUCAGUCUCCUGCCUUGGAGGAAAUUAAGUAAAGAUGAAUCAAAAGGAGUAACUGGGGCGUGUGUACCAGAGACAAGCACAGAGAGGGGGAACAACCUAUGGUCAACGUUCCUUUGUUUUCCAUUGGGUCCAGAAUGUGCGUCUUGUGCCAGGAGCUGGGUCUGUGCUUGGCUCUCCUUCCGUCCUCUGCACUUUAUGCUUCUUUUCUUGCGGGCAUCUCGACAGUGGUCACAGUCCUGAUCUACAGAGCAUCGCUCACCAGCACGUGGAGCUCUAGGAAAGCACAGUUCAGAGUUUGGGCUUCAGGGUCUGACCACCUGCUCUGCCUCAGUCACCCCAACAAGUCAUUUAAACUUCGUGUCUCAGUUUUGUCCUGUGUGAAAUGGGGAAAGUGUCACUGACUUCCUCCUAGGGGUGUCGGAGAGGGUAAAAUGAGUUGUUCUGCAUGAAACAUCUGACCUAACCCUGGAACAGUGCCCAGUGCAUAGUAAGUGCUCAGUAAAUACCACACACACACACACGCACACGCACACACACACACACAGAUCACAUGUCUCCUUCUCAGGGAGGCCUUUCUUUCCUGGCCUCACACCCCCAUCUCCCCUUCCCUCUUUAUUCGUCUCCACAGCACUUACCGCCGUCUGACCCACUUGUUUAUUUCUUUGUUGACUCUGCCCCCUACCCCUCAUGAGCCCCCACAAAUACAGAGAUUUCUGUUAAUUUUUUUUAAUGCUUUAUUCCCUGGAACGUGGGUAGGUGCCUAGGAAAUAUGUAUUGAAUGGUUGAAUCUCUGUUUUAGAGAUGACCCUCCAGGUCAUGACUCGGGCACAGAGAGGUAAGGUAACUUGCUCAGAAUCACCCAGCUACUCGCAGUUGGCAAAUCUGAAUUAAUGCCUCCCUGCUGGUAAAACCAAAACCAAAACAAAACCAAGCAUAGUGCCUGCCACAUGGGGAGGACUCGUAGAUGUUACAUAAAAUAAUGAUAAUAAUGCUGGCAACUACUGCCCCUGCCCAGGACACCCCGUUUCACUGUCCCCCAGUUUUUCUGGGUGAGCACUGAGUCUCAAACAGGAGAAGCUGUCCUGAGAGGGUUACGUGGGGGGCGCCCAGGCCUGUGGGCAGUGGCUGCACCUGGAUUAAAAUGGGUUCAUGCCCCUUCUAGAGGGCUUCCCAAUCUGAGGAGAACCGGGGUUCCGUAGAAACAUCAGGGGGCUCACGUGGUGCCCAUUUCCAGACUCAGUGGCAGCUUUGGAAAUGUGCCAGUUUCCCCUCCUUUCACUGGCUGUUGGGCAUUCCCUGAGCCCUCAGCGGUGCUGCAGGGUCCUGAUGGACAGGAAAUUGUUUCUGAUCUGGACCUCGUCCCAGCUGUCCCCCAGUAGGUUUUAUUGUUCCCAUUUUUUAGAUGAGGACACUGAGGUUCUGGAAAUGUAAAUACUGAGGCCGAGAUUGGAACGCAGGCCUGCUAGGUCCCAGUGCCUCAUACCCCUGCUCUGCUCCUCAGAUGCUGUUAUAUUUGGGUUCUGACUCUUAAGCGUUUAUUGAGCAAUAUGUAUAGGCUGAGUGCCGUGCCUAAUUUUUUUCUUGUUUGCUUAUUAUGGUUUUUAAGCUGUUUUCUCCAAACAAGGGCACUGUGUUUGUCAGAGGUAUGCGGGGGAGGAGACCUUGUGACCCUCCGGAUGACAGCAGUGAGCCAUGGGGAGGGAGCCCAAUUGUCAGAGCAGCACUGCUCUGGAUUCAAAUACAAGCCCAGCCUCUUGGUUGCUGUGUGAUCUGUGUCCAAAAAUCAACUUCUCUGAGCCUCAGUUUUCACAUCUGUAAGAUGCAGUGAGUACCCUUCCUUGGAGGGGACACUGAGCAGUUGAGAUAUUAAAUAUAAAAUAUGAAGCUUGCUGCCUGGUGCGUCGUUGGCCAUCAGUGAGUGGUGGCUAUUUUAUGAUGACGAUAGUGAUAAUUACUAUUAUGAUUGUAUUUUAAUACAUAGCAUUGUACCUAAAUGUCACUUCUGUGUUUACCUUCCGGAUCUUUGUCACUCCUGAGGGUACAGACUGAGCCUUAUUCAUCUCAGCAUCCCCGCCUUCUCUCACAGCUCUUGGUGUGUGGUUGAUGUGCCCUUAUUGGAGGGCACAGGAAUGAAUGGAUGGAUGAAUACGGAAGUGGGCUGGUGGUCUGUGGAGCCCGCUCUGGCCAGUUGUUGGGGGCUGCGUUUCCUGGAGUCUUAUCCUCUCUUGUCAGAUUCAGACCGGGACAACGGUAAGGUCGUUCCAUUGUUCCCAGAUAACAUUUCCUAUCUUAACGUCUCCACGGGGCAGCCCUGGGCCACACCCUGCCCUCCUGGCCUAUCACUGAGCCCCCUUUGGACCCUGCCGGCUCCAUUCCAGCCUGAUUUGAAGAAAGCUUUCCUGCGGGGGCCCUGCUCCUCGUCUCCUCCCUUCCCUCAGUGGCAACAGUGGCUUCAGGGGGCAUCUCUCUCUCCAGAACUUUUCAUGUUCCAGUGAGGACCUGAAAAACACGUUAAAUCAAGACACUUUACAUUAGCCGGGCUCUUCAUAGCCUGACCGACAUCUUCCCCCUUCUGCCUCGCAGUCACCUUGUCUGAUGGUCAGUCAGUUCUUACCCCUAGUUGAACUUGGGAGAAACUGAGUCUCAAAGUGGGUGGGACUGCUACCAAUGUGGCUGGUUAGUGAGAGAGCCCAGGACCACUGCUAGCUCUCUGCGCCUCACCAGUGCUUUUGCUACCAGUUCCCACGGGGUGUGUUCGUUGGUUGGCUAUACCCUUCUCUAUUUCCAGAAGAUGUUUGAGGGGUAUGUCACAAUUUUCAUGAUCCAGGGCACUUUCCAGUCUGUUAGCUCAGGGUGACAUCCCAGCUGCCCCGUAAGGUGUCAAGGUAUCCGGGCAUCACCAGACCCGCCCUGUUGGUGAGGAAAGCAAGGCCUGGAGAGCCCGUGGCUUCAGAUUACACAUCUCGGGGUGGCAGCCCUUUCCCUUCUGCCAUGUCUCUCUCACCUGUUGAAUUUGACUCUUAGAUCAGCUGUUCUCGAACUGGAUCUAACGUUAGAAUCACCUGAGGAAUUUUAAAAAUCUUGCUGCCGGGACCGACCUGCAAAGAUGCUGACUUAAUUGUCAGGAGCAGGGGGGUAGGGAGGCGUUAUAGCAUCUCGGCAGGUGAUUCUGCUAUGCAGCAACGCUGAGAACCACCGUCUUAGAUCUUCCCUGUAACAGGGAUGUUGGGAGCCGACAUGAAACCAGGAAUCCUCAAACUCGAUCUUAGACCGUAGUGCCAGCCUUCCUAAAGCAAACCUGGGCUUAACUGUAUGCCCUUCUGCUCAGACUCAUGGCAGCUCAUGUCCCAGAAGAACUGCUGUGCUGAUAGAGGAAGCUGGGGAGCAAGGGAGAUGGGAGCAGUCCCCAGAGCCAUCAUGUGUUGUGUGCUGGGCACUGUCCUCAGCACCUUACAUAUGUUAACUCAUCCAAAUCCCGAUCCACACACUAGCACUAUCUCUGAUAUCAUCCCAUUUCACAGAUGAGAAGACUGUCCAUGGAGUAGAUCAGUAACUUGCUCAAGCUGGAGGGGCAGAGCUGAGAUUUGAAGAGAGCGAGCUGGCUUCUGCAGGAUGAUCUGGGAACCAUGGCACACUGCUUCCUACAUGGCUGGGAAUUUGCUCUCCCCAGUGGAUCUUUCAUGGUGAUGCUGGGGCAUAGCUCAUCUGUCACUCUGCUGCUCAGGAGCCUCUGUGCCUCCCCAGCGCAUCUGUAGGAGGAAGGCAGACUUCUUAGCACAGCACAUGAGGGAUGCCCUUUACAGCUGACCGCUGGCAGGCCGUCCCUCCAUAUUCCAUGUUACACAAGCUGUUACUGCUCCUCUUUCUUGCCUAGUGAACUCCUAUCUUCAAUACCCAGCUCAGCUAUCCUCUUCUCUAACUCAUGCAGGAAAAGCCAGUGACGCCUGCCUUCCUCUUUGUUCCCAGAGCUCUUGAUCCCUCCAUCUGUGACCACAUAGAUCACAGCCUUUUCUGCAAUAUCCUCCAGUGAAUCAUGAGUUCCUCUAGGAAUGGGCUCUGCCUUACUCCUGUUUGUUCUCCUCCCCUCAGCGUCUAUAGCAGUGUUUUCGUUGGAUGGCCACCUCUCACACGUAGGAUGACCUCCUUUACCUUAGAUUCCACAGUAUUUCAGGCACAGUAACACGUUCUCUUUAUCUUCCAUCAGAGGGUUCUUCCUCUCUAAUGGAUGCUUUCCUUCAAGGUGCCUGGGGCUCCACAUUGCAUCAUGGACAUUUACUGUGUGUUCCUCAGCCGGGCUGUGAUUUUGGAGGAGUCCCGAGCUCCCUGGAGGUUUGCCUCUCCAGCCUUGGGCUCUCUGCAUUCUUCAACACCUCAGGGUCCAGAAGGAAAAGAGCAAAGCUAGCCAGCUCUGGGAACGGCCCGGGUGAAGAGAGGUGGGCGUCUCGCUUAGUGUUGGGCUUGAUUCCUGAACUGAGCUGCCCCGGGUGAGGCGAGGCAGAGGCGGGAGGAGUGGAUUCUUGGUGACUAGAAGUGAAAUAUGUGUGUUUCCUCAUGUGCUCUUGUGGAAAUGCCAGCAGCUGCUCACCAAGAAGUAUAGCGAGGCCCUCUGAGGACAGGCCCCCAGGGUCCGAAGAGGAUGGGCACACGGGGAGCCACCAGCCUGCCGUGGCACUUUUGAGACCUGGCUGCUGUAGACUGAAGAGGACAGGAAAGUUAAGUUUAAAAAACCCUGGGUGAAUUCUAAGAAUUUAUCCUACAGAAAUGUGUGCAUAGGUUCGGAUGACGUGCAGUGCAUCAUCUCAACGUUGUUUGAAAUAGCAAACGAUGAGACACGAUCGAUCGAUUGAUUGAUUGAUUGAUUGACACACAAUGCCUGGUUUUUAAUCCAAUAAUAGAUUACCGGAUGUGUAAAGAUACAGAAGAGUGUGGCCUAAACUUAGGGGAAAAAGUAGUGAAUAGAAAACAGAAUAGAAUUAAGAUUCCAGAGCUAAACUCACACUUGUGUCAUCAAUUUAUUUAUUUUUUUAUUAAAUAGACUAUAUUUUUUUUAGAGCAGUUUUAGGUUCACAGAACAAUUGAAUGGAAAGUACACAGAGUUCCCAUACAGCCCCUGUCCCCACAUAUGCCCAGCCUCCCCUACUAUCAAUGUCCUGCACAGGAGGGGUACGUUUGUUACAACUGACGAAUCUACCUUGGCACAUCGUUACCACCCCAAUCCAUAAUUUACAUUAGGAUCCACUCUUGGUGGUGGACAUUCUGUGAUACGUGUCUAAUGACACGUUUCCACCUUCGUAGUAUCAUAGUUUCACUGAUCUAAGAAUCCUCUGUGUUCCACCUGUUCAUUUCUUCUGAUGAAACAGGAUUUAAAUGCUCCUCAAUUGUUGAUUGGUUGACAAAAUUGUGAUACAUCCAUAAAAUGUCUGCACAGUAUUGACAGUACAGCUGUUAAAGAGAAGCAGUGGCUUUAUGAAGUGAUAUGGAACAAUCUUGAAGCUAUAUCACUAUCAAAAAGCAACAUCCACCUUAACGAUCUUGAUUUUAAAAAAGAAGGGCAUAGACCGUGUAGGGAGUGUGCCAACAGCUAACUAACACUAACACACAGCCACCUCUCCCAAAUCAGCUCCCUGUACUUCCUGCAUCCACACUUAACACAUUCUGUUGUUCCUGCCUCUUUGCUGACCUGGAAGCCCAGGGGACAGAGCGCUCCAAGAGGGCAGGACCUGGGCUGUCCAUUUGCAGCCAGAUGGCCGGGCACAUCCUAGCCUUUCCAUCGGUAUGUGUGAAGGCGUGAACGAAUGAAGAGAGUGGGGAGUUUCUUUCCGCAACUUCCUUCUGCCUGCUACUCCUCAAAUGCAGGAGGCUGGAGCAGAAGCCCCAGAUGUCCCUUCUCCCCCUCCUGGGUACUGUCUUUCCCCUCCCCUCCCCUCCCUUGAGUUUCUAUGCUGUGCAAGGCUUCCUCAUUAUUCCCCAGAUUACAGAGACACAGGACAUGGGGGAGAUGCUUGAAAUGGACCUUUGAGAGGAUAUGAUGUAGCUGACAUUGGCGGUUAAGUCAGGCAGAUCUGACUUAAUUGAUUAAUUUAGUUGUACUGGCCUAGCAAGGCAGCGGUUGGGAUCAGACUCCCCAUCUAACAGCAUGCUGGUGAGUCAGACCCAUGGGGUUUGAGUCCAGGCUCUGGCCGGGCUGCCUGUGUGACCUUGGCCAUGUGACUUAACCUUGCUGAAUCUCCAUUUCCUGAUCUGUAAAAGGAGGCUAAAAAUGCUCCUCUUGAGGUUGUCAUGAGGAUUAGAGGUAAUCACAUAAGUGCGAGUGCCCUUUGAGGAAAGACGAAGGUGACAGUGCUUGUUGUGGAGGGAGACAAGCGAGGAGGGCCUCCCGUGGCUCUCAGGUGCUCCUCCUUCCUGGGGGUGGAAAUCCCAACUUCAAGUCAGAAUAGGUUCUAAUUCAGCUCUUACUCUUUUAUUCAGCGCACUGCUCUUGGCCACCCAGGGCUUUCAACUUAAGCAAAUAAAUAAUCCUGCUCCGCCGGGCUCUGUGUUCUGCAGCCAGCCAUAUGUUUGAGGUUGAUAGAGAUCCUUAUCCAGCGGGUAAUAUUACCCAGCAAGGGAUGACAUUUCUUAUCAGAGGCCCUGCGGAAUCAGAGAUAGCGGGUCCUUUCUUUUUACCGGCAGCCAGGCCUCAAUGUUCAAGGGUGGCAGGCAGGGCAAGAGGGGCGGACCAGGGCCCGGGAGUGGGCAGCUUGCACUGCAGUGGGCAUCAGUCUGCCCUCAUCUCUUAAGACAGCUGCUCUCAAUACCCUGUCUUGUCAGAAGAAGGUCACUGUGAGAUUUCUGCAUAAGAUUGAGGCAGGGCAGGGCAGGGAAGUGUGAACUGAGGAGGGAGGCGGGGAGUGCCAUGAUGCUGGACCAGAAUGGGGUGGAGGCAGAGCGCUUGCCUCUGUGGGGCCUUGCGCUGGUACAGAGAGGCAGGUGGCCCCCUGCUACAGCACCAAGGUGGAGGGCAUCUGUGCUGUGGCUCUGCAGAGCGGAGGCAGCUGAGGCCAGAGUCUCGGCUGUGGGAAUGGUGAGGUGCUGGGUAACCUCGACGUCCCCUUCCAGGUCCCCCUGUCCUUUUCCACCCUGCCCUGUGCCCAGGAGGCCGACCUGUGUGGGUGCACCAGGAUGGAUGCCACAUGGGGCUCCUGUGCCCCUGGCUCUGUUUGGGAGGCACUGGCAGGAUGGGAGGGCAGGGAAGGAGUGAGGGCAGGGCAUUUAUUCUUCUGCUUCCUCCCUGCUGGGUUCUUGAUUGAUACAGCCAAAGUCUACACAGAGGCCCCUGCGUUGGAAUCCUGAUUCGGGCACGCACUUGCUGCGUGCUAUCAAGCAAGUUGUUCAACCUCUUUGCACCUCGGUUUCUUCCUCUCUGGUAUGGAGGUGACACCAUUUUUCUUGACGUCUCUCACCACUUGCCUCUGGGGCUCACUGAUCCUGGAGCGGGUGCACUGCUGGGUCCCCGAGGGCCCGUCUGAGGCCAGAGCUCACUGUACGUGAAGCCCAGUGUGGGCAGAGGAGGUCAGACUUGACCACCUGAUGCUGGGGACACGUGCUCAGUGCUCUCCCCUUCCUGAUUUUUGGGAAGUCCUGCCCUGUCCAGCCCUGCUCUCAAGUAGUAAUCUUGCUAUCAUCAGAAACGGAAGGAGAAGCGGUUUCUCCCUCUCCCUGGACCCCUUCCAGCCAGUGGUUCUGCCUCUGCUUCCUUCCUGUUGGCCCUACUUCUUGUUUCCUUCCAUCCCCCCUGCCUCUCCAGGCCUUCACGUUGAGGGUGUUGAGUUUUUCCCUCCCUCACCUCUCUUUCUGAUGGCCAAGUCGAAAUUCUGACAGCACUGCUCUGACCAUGUGCCUGUCCAGCAGUCGGUCAUUCAGACCUCUUAGCAUGGCAUUUAAGGCCCACCUCAUCGUGACCCGGCCCUGUGGUUCCAUGCUGGUCACCUUUGAACCUUCCUGUGGAGUGUCAGUCCUGGUAAGCAAGUCUCACUUUUGAACCUGCCAUUGUCUUCCAUUGACUUUCAUGCUUCGAUCUCAUCGUUUCUCCUUUGGUUGUCUGAGGGGUGCGUGGGCUCUAGCCACAGACAGGGCUGAGUUCCCCGCCUAGCUCCACCAGCUGCUGGCUCUGUGACCCUGGGCAAGUCGCUUCACCACUCUGAACCUCAGUGUCCUCAACUGUGACAUGGGCUAGCUCCUGCGCCAGGUUCUUGUGAGAAGCACAGUCUCAAGGCUCCUACUGGGGCGAGGCUCGUGGCAGGUCCUCUGUGAGUGGGGGCUUCUGUCUCUAACUGGCUGCCCUUCUGAUUAUCCAAAUGCCACCUGUGCUCAAGGUCCAUCCCAUCCUUUGCCUUUCCUCUGGGUUCUUCUGCUGGAAGUCAUCUUCCUCUGUUUGAAAGGCUCAGAGUGCCUCACGUCUGGACAGCGGGAAUGGACUGCUUCUCUUUCUGCCUCUGUCUGACCUUCCAGCAUCACAUGGAUUCCUUUAGGGCAUGGACUGUGGUGUAUGGUUCUCAGCUUGGCCACAGAACCCAUUGAUCUGGUGAUUGAGAAGUUGACCCCAAGGGAAUAGAAGAGCAUCAUUUGUUCUGUCAUUGAAUCAAAUUUGAUUGAGGGCACAUGAUAUGUUAGGUGUGUGCUUGGCACGGGAGUUACAAGGAGGUGUGAGAUGGAGACUGUCCUCACGGAGCUGGUCCUCCAGGGAGAAGGUCAUCCGGUUGUGUGUGCCAGGCGCAGACAGCAGCCCUAGAAAGAUGUGGGCCCCUACCCGUAGGUAGCUCAGAAUCUGAUGUGGGUUGUAGGGGUUUGGGGGGCAUUCUAUGACCAAGGAAAAGAUGCCUCCCUUCAGAUUGAUGCCCCCAUCCCCUCAGAUCAGAGAGGAUGGCGUUCCCUCUCCAGAUGCCACUAGUGACCUUAUCAGGUGAAGUUCCGAGGUCACCAGCACCUCUCUGUGUAGACCUACACAAAGCCUUGUUAGGUAAAGUCCACCAAGAGAGAUGUUCUAGAAUGUUCCAAGCUGGCUGAUCAUGAUGGUGCCUUGAACACUCAUGAUAGCUUGUCCAUGGCCAGGAAAGUGGGUGAGAACCAGCCAGCUGACCAUCUCGGCCAACUUGUGGAUCCUCUCCUCAUGAGCCUCAGGCAUCUGGGGCUGCGGUGGACAUUAUUUUCCCUCCACCACCAACACUCUUAUCCAAGUCACCCUCAUCUCCUGCCUAGAUUACAGCAACAGCUUCCAAAUUCCACUCCCUGGAUCCAGUCUUGCCUCUCUGCAAUCCUUUCUCCACUCAGCAGCCAGCGUGAUCUUUCUGAAGUGGUAAUCAAAUUGUGCUGCCCCCACAAACAUACCCAGGCCUUUCCAUUUCUGCUCUUGGGAUAAAAACCAGUAUCUACUGGACUUUGUGUGGAUUGACCCAGCUGUCUUUCUUCACUCAUUAUUCUUCAUCCACACUGACCUCUGCCAAGUGAUACAAAGCUAUCCCCUUCCCUCCCACCUCAGGGCCUUUGCACGUGUUAUUUCUCUGUUUGGAAUGCUCAUUCCCUCCAUUUUUUGAUGGUGAGUGCUUUCUUACCCUUCAGCUGUCCCCUUAUUUUUCUCCCACUGCAUUCUGCUUUUCCUUCAUAGCAUGAUCUAGAAUGAUACAUUUAUUUAUGUUUGCUUCACAUCUGUUGGUCCUAGAUGGACUGGAGGCAGUGGAUUUAUGAAACAGGAAGGGGUGAGGUCAGUUUGCUAGCUGGCUUUGAAGCAGACCAGAGGUUCUUUAGGAUGAUGAUAAUGCUCCUGAUUAAUUAUCAUAAUGAGUCUCCUUUUGUCCUCACUGUCCGUAUAGUGCUCCAAGCACAGGGGACUUGUCGGGCGACCAGGAGGACUGGAGUGGGCAGUCUGGGGCAGCCGGUCGGUAUCUCCAUGUGCCCAACUGGUUCCGUCCUUGCACUUGACAGGUCCCUCUGAUCUUCUCGCAUACAAUGGAUUGCAGGGAAAAAGAAACUUCCUGGCCUGACUGAUACCAAUUUGAAGGAAGCAGCUGCCUUUGGUGGGAGCAAGGAAACAAAAUCCAGCGAGAGUGAUAACCUCUCACCAAUCUGUGUUAAUUGAGGAACUGCGGGUGUGGGAACAGAGUGGUAUUAACCAAUAGGAGAAGAGCCCAGGUUUGGGGCUUCCUGGGUUUUAGAGGUUCCAUCAGUUUCUACGAAGUGAGUGAUGCCCUCUGUCCCCCAGUUUCUUUGUAGUGGCAAAGUGGAGUUCACUGGACAUUUCCCCCAGUCAAAAGUAGAUGACCUGUGCUGAAGAUGAAGCUAAAGAGAAUCUUGGAAAGAACUCGACAGUUCUUUGGACAUCACCAUGUGAGGGAAACUGAGGCCCAGAGAGGUGAAGCAUGGUCCAAGGCCACACAGCCAGUUGGAGGUGAGGAAACUACUGCUCAGAGAUGUGAAAUAACUCAGCAGAGGUCACACAGCUAAUAAGUGACAAACAGGAAUGUCCAAGCAGUGAAGGUCAUUUCCAGUCGCCGAGUCUUUCACAAGCCCAUGUCUGGACCGGGACAUCUCAUGUCUCAUCGUGAGCAGGAGACUGGAAAAUAACUGGCCGGAGGGGAUAGGCCCAGCAGUAACACUGGCCCAGAGAGAAUUGAGUGCUUUUUCCCGGUGACAAGAAGACACACGCAGCUGGAAAAAGGAGCCUAGGCCGUCACCAUGUUCCCCAAAUAGCAGAACACCUCCCUCCUUCCCACCUUCUCUCCCGUGGCACAGAAUACGUUUUACCAGGGAUCGGUCACUGCUGAGCUGUCGUCACUUAAUGUGGCUUUGACAGAAUAGUUGGUCUGGAAAUCUUAUUUUCAAUUAAAUGACCUUAUUGAACUGCCUUGGUUUUGAAAAGAUUCCAUUAGGAUGGCUAAUUAUAUAGCAGUUGCUCCAAGGAGAUGCUGGCACUCCAUUUCAGCUCUUAAGUAAUUCGAAUCAAAUGCUGUCUUCUUUCCUCCUUGGAGCUGUGAGCGACCGUCUUCCUCUCACACUGCAGGCUUCUCGUGAGUUAUUUUUGGAAAUCCAAGUCAAAACAGCAAUUUUGGCAGAGGCCAUUUCUAGCCUAGCAGAGUAAACCGUAUGUACUGAUAAAAACAGCCGAAGAGUCAGUGCCUUUAAAAAGCAACUAAACCAUCUCCUUCUGUGGGGGUUAAAUUUGGGGGACCUCCAAACUGUCCUUUGUACUGUCCUAUUCCUUCGUGAGCUCUAACUGAAGUCAAAGACAUUGGAAUUCCUUUAAGAUUAGCAAAGCUUUGUCCGUUUGCAAACUGUCAUCAUGGUCAUUUUGUUUCAAGGUGGCAGGCCUUGGCAGAAUUUACCAGGCACUCUGUUUUGGCCUCUGGAUCUCCCCUGAAACGUGGAAAUCACUUUCUGUUCCCAUUCUGUGCUGUUUGCUUCUGUCACCAGAGCACUCGCGACAUUCCUCGCGACAUUCCUCGUUACGCAUACCAAGCAGUCAGAUCUUCCUGCUCACCCGUUAGAACGGAGCUUCUUGUGGCCAGGGGCUGUGUUUUUCAUCUUAUUUCCUUCCUGGCCCAUAAUAGAUGCUCAAAUAGUUGGAUGAAUAGAUAGACUAGAUAGAUGAAUGAAUAGAAUCCUAUUUCUAUUUUUCUCCUUUUU
Equus caballus (horse) is the source of this 17045-nucleotide non-coding RNA. The record is from RefSeq and is a predicted model, not a curated record. NCBI's taxonomy places the organism in Eukaryota, Metazoa, Chordata, Mammalia, Perissodactyla, Equidae.